Molecule: ribosomal RNA, 448 nt
Filed under: Bulimina sp.
Lineage: Eukaryota; Foraminifera; Rotaliida; Buliminidae
Description: SSU rRNA
Rfam family: Eukaryotic small subunit ribosomal RNA
Source: RNAcentral
GUGGCUUAAUUUGACUCAACGCGGGAAAUCUUACCGGGUCCGGACACACUGAGGAUUGACAGGCAAUAUUAGCACUUAGCUUCGGCGACGUGUUAUGUUAAAUAUGCUAGUCCUUUCAUGAUUAUGUGAUAGGUGGUGCAUGGCCGUUCUUAGUUCGUGGAGUGAUCUGUCUGCUUAAUUGCGUUUCACCAAGGGCCUAUAAUUUUACGUGUGUUGCGGCACUUUGACCCCUCUUUUUUUAAAGAGCGCGUGUCUUGGUUUGCUUAGCUCGCACAAUUAGGUCCUGAAAGCAACGAACGUGACCGCAACCUCUUGUUGCCUUUAUACCAAACGUGCAUAUGUAAUUUUUUUAAAUUGCUUUGCGCGCAAAAAGGCUUUUUAAACUAGAGGGACCGCUGUUACUUUCUUAAACCAGAGGAAGGUUGCGGCAAUAACAGGUCUGUGAUGC